Molecule: ribosomal RNA, 251 nt
Filed under: uncultured bacterium
Lineage: Bacteria
Description: partial 16S ribosomal RNA
Rfam family: Bacterial small subunit ribosomal RNA
Source: RNAcentral
GAUCAUGGCUCAGGAUGAACGCUGGCGGCGUGCUUAACACAUGCAAGUCGAACGGAACUACUUUGAUGAGAUUCUUCGGAAAGGAUUUGAUUUAGUUUAGUGGCGGACGGGUGAGUAACGCGUGGGUAACCUGCUCAUACAGGGGGAUAACAGUUGGAAACGGCUGUUAAUACCGCAUAAGCGCACAGUACCGCAUGGUACAGUGUGAAAAACUCCGGUGGUAUAAGAUGGACCCGCGUUGGAUUAGCUGG